RNAcentral lists this ribosomal RNA (497 nucleotides) under uncultured bacterium. Its description in RNAcentral is "partial 16S ribosomal RNA". It matches the Rfam family "Bacterial small subunit ribosomal RNA", at positions 28 to 507 of the family's 1533-position model. The record is from RNAcentral.
GACGAACGCUGGCGGCGUGCCUAAUACAUGCAAGUCGAGCGAACAGACGAGGAGCUUGCUCCUCUGACGUUAGCGGCGGACGGGUGAGUAACACGUGGAUAACCUACCUAUAAGACUGGGAUAACUUCGGGAAACCGGAGCUAAUACCGGAUAAUAUAUUGAACCGCAUGGUUCAAUAGUGAAAGACGGUUUUGCUGUCACUUAUAGAUGGAUCCGCGCCGCAUUAGCUAGUUGGUAAGGUAACGGCUUACCAAGGCAACGAUGCGUAGCCGACCUGAGGGGGUGAUCGGCCACACUGGAACUGAGACACGGUCCAGACUCCUACGGGAGGCAGCAGUAGGGAAUCUUCCGCAAUGGGCGAAAGCCUGACGGAGCAACGCCGCGUGAGUGAUGAAGGUCUUCGGAUCGUAAAACUCUGUUAUUAGGGAAGAACAAAUGUGUAAGUAACUAUGCACGUCUUGACGGUACCUAAUCAGAAAGCCACGGCUAACUACGUG